UAUCUCUGUAGAGUCUGCAUAUCAAUAAGCGGAGGAAAAGAAACUAACUAGGAUUCCCUCAGUAACGGCGAGUGAAGCGGGAAGAGCUCAAAUUUGAAAUCUUCAAGGUUCUACCUUGACGAAUUGUAGUUUAAAGAAGUGUUUUCUGUUGGUGUUUUGGUAAAAGUUCUUUGGAAUAGGACAUCAUAGAGGGUGAGAAUCCCGUAUUUGACCAUUAUUUCCAGCUUUGUGAUACACUUUCAAAGAGUCGGAUUGUUUGGGAAUGCAGUCCAAAAUGGGUGGUAAAUUUCAUCUAAAGCUAAAUAUUGGCGAGAGACCGAUAGCGAACAAGUACCGUGAGGGAAAGAUGAAAAGAACUUUGAAAGGAGAGUUAAACAGUACGUGAAAUUGUCAAAAGGGAAGCGUUUGACACCAGUGUUGUUUUCUCGAAAAUCAAUUAAAAAAGGCAGGAUUUUGUGUUGUAUUGACUUUAUCAGCUUUCUGCACUCUUUUCUUGUCUUUUUUUAAUGCACUUUUCGUUUAACAAGUCAACAUCAAUUUCUUUUGUUGUAAAAGGGUCAUUGGAAGGUGGCUUUCUUUUCGGAGAAAGUGUUUAUAGCCUUUGGCCUCUGCAAUCGGAGAGAUUGAGGUCUGCAGCGUAGAUCCUUCGGGGUUAGAUACAUUUGUGCUAAGUUAUAGCCUUUCAUAGACAACUUGUUGACUAUGAUCAGUCAUGUAGCUUACUCGCUUAUGCUAUUUUACCUACGCUUAGGAUGUGACGAUCAGCUGAGCGCG
Molecule: ribosomal RNA, 774 nt
Filed under: uncultured Neocallimastigales
Lineage: Eukaryota; Fungi; Neocallimastigomycota; Neocallimastigomycetes; Neocallimastigales
Description: partial large subunit ribosomal RNA
Rfam family: Eukaryotic large subunit ribosomal RNA
Source: RNAcentral